This 382-nucleotide ribosomal RNA is filed under the name Bacillariophyta sp. RNAcentral's name for it is "partial small subunit ribosomal RNA". It matches the Rfam family "Eukaryotic small subunit ribosomal RNA", at positions 582 to 975 of the family's 1831-position model. The record is from RNAcentral. Lineage: Eukaryota; Bacillariophyta.
AUUCCAGCUCCAAUAGCGUAUAUUAAAGUUGUUGCAGUUAAAAAGCUCGUAGUUGGACUUGUGCGGUACCCUGGAUGUCCAUUCGUGGUACGUUCUGGGGGUCCGCGUCCUUGGGUGGAACCUGUGUGGCAUUAGGUUGUCGUGCAGGGGAUGCUCAUCGUUUACUGUGAAAAAAUUAGAGUGUUCAAAGCAGGCGUCGGCUUGAAUACAUUAGCAUGGAAUAAUGGAAUAGGGCUUUGGUUCUAUUUUGUUGGUUUCUAGGACCGAAGUAAUGAUUAAUAGGGACAGUUGGGGGCAUUAGUAUUUAAUUGUCAGUGGUGAAAUUCUUGGAUUUAUGAAAGACUAACUACUGCGAAAGCAUUUGCCAAGGAUGUUUUCAUUA